GGGGCUACGAGUCACUCCAACCCCUGUGACAUACCAAUUGUUGCCUCGGCGGAUCAGCCCGCUCCCGGUAAAACGGGACGGCCCGCCAGAGGACCCCUAAACUCUGUUUCUAUAUGUAACUUCUGAGUAAAACCAUAAAUAAAUCAAAACUUUCAACAACGGAUCUCUUGGUUCUGGCAUCGAUGAAGAACGCAGCAAAAUGCGAUAAGUAAUGUGAAUUGCAGAAUUCAGUGAAUCAUCGAAUCUUUGAACGCACAUUGCGCCCGCCAGUAUUCUGGCGGGCAUGCCUGUUCGAGCGUCAUUUCAACCCUCAAGCCCCCGGGUUUGGUGUUGGGGAUCGGCGAGCCCUUGCGGCAAGCCGGCCCCGAAAUCUAGUGGCGGUCUCGCUGCAGCUUCCAUUGCGUAGUAGUAAAACCCUCGCAACUGGUACGCGGCGCGGCCAAGCCGUUAAACCCCCAACUUCUGAAUGUUGACCUCGGAUCAGGUAGGAAUACCCGCUGAACUUAAGCAUAUCAAAGGCCGGGAGGAA
Molecule: ribosomal RNA, 529 nt
Filed under: Fusarium sp. CHJ2
Lineage: Eukaryota; Fungi; Ascomycota; Sordariomycetes; Hypocreales; Nectriaceae
Description: eukaryotic LSU rRNA
Rfam family: 5.8S ribosomal RNA (bases 148-301)
Source: RNAcentral